Molecule: ribosomal RNA, 433 nt
Filed under: uncultured bacterium
Lineage: Bacteria
Description: partial 16S ribosomal RNA
Rfam family: Bacterial small subunit ribosomal RNA
Source: RNAcentral
AACGAACGCUGGCGGCAGGCCUAACACAUGCAAGUCGAGCGCGCCCUUCGGGGUGAGCGGCGGACGGGUGAGUAACGCGUGGGAACGUGCCCUUUUCUACGGAAUAGCCUCGGGAAACUGAGAGUAAUACUGUAUACGCCCUUUGGGGGAAAGAUUUAUCGGAAAAGGAUCGGCCCGCGUUGGAUUAGGUAGUUGGUGGGGUAAUGGCCUACCAAGCCGACGAUCCAUAGCUGGUUUGAGAGGAUGAUCAGCCACACUGGGACUGAGACACGGCCCAGACUCCUACGGGAGGCAGCAGUGGGGAAUCUUAGACAAUGGGGGCAACCCUGAUCUAGCCAUGCCGCGUGAGUGAUGAAGGCCUUAGGGUUGUAAAGCUCUUUCAGCUGGGAAGAUAAUGACGGUACCAGCAGAAGAAGCCCCGGCUAACUCCGUG